This 61-nucleotide transfer RNA is filed under the name Ricinus sp. ADS-2020. Its description in RNAcentral is "tRNA-Tyr". Lineage: Eukaryota; Metazoa; Arthropoda; Insecta; Psocodea; Ricinidae. The record is from RNAcentral.
UAUAAGGUGGCUGAAAAAAGCGAAAAAUUGUAAAUUUUUUUAUGAGAUUUCUCCCUUAUAA